RNAcentral lists this transfer RNA (76 nucleotides) under Trichocoleus sp. FACHB-591. Its description in RNAcentral is "tRNA-Asp". It matches the Rfam family "tRNA". Rfam says of the family: Transfer RNA (tRNA) molecules are approximately 80 nucleotides in length. Their secondary structure includes four short double-helical elements and three loops (D, anti-codon, and T loops). Further hydrogen bonds mediate the characteristic L-shaped molecular structure. tRNAs have two regions of fundamental functional importance: the anti-codon, which is responsible for specific mRNA codon recognition, and the 3' end, to which the tRNAs corresponding amino acid is attached (by aminoacyl-tRNA synthetases). tRNAs cope with the degeneracy of the genetic code in two manners: having more than one tRNA (with a specific anti-codon) for a particular amino acid; and 'wobble' base-pairing, i.e. permitting non-standard base-pairing at the 3rd anti-codon position. Lineage: Bacteria; Bacillati; Cyanobacteriota; Cyanophyceae; Leptolyngbyales; Trichocoleusaceae. The record is from RNAcentral.
GGGAAAGUAGCUUAGUCCGGCUUAAAGCAGUCGCCUGUCCAGCGAAAGAUCGUCGGUUCAAAUCCGUCCAUUCCCG